RNAcentral lists this ribosomal RNA (497 nucleotides) under uncultured bacterium. RNAcentral's name for it is "partial 16S ribosomal RNA". It matches the Rfam family "Bacterial small subunit ribosomal RNA", at positions 28 to 507 of the family's 1533-position model. The record is from RNAcentral.
GAUGAACGCUGGCGGCGUGCCUAAUACAUGCCAGUCGAGCGAACAGACGAGGAGCUUGCUCCUCUGACGUUAGCGGCGGACGGGUGAGUAACACGUGGAUAACCUACCUAUAAGACUGGGAUAACUUCGGGAAACCGGAGCUAAUACCGGAUAAUAUAUUGAACCGCAUGGUUCAAUAGUGAAAGACGGUUUUGCUGUCACUUAUAGAUGGAUCCGCGCUGCAUUAGCGAGUUGGUAAGGGAACGGCCUACCAAGGCAACGAUGCGUAGCCGAGCUGAGAGGGUGAUCGGCCACACUGGGACUGAGACCAGGUCCAGACUCCUACGGGAGGCAGGAGUAGGGAAUUUUCCGCAAUGGGCGAAAGCCUGACGGAGCCACGCCGCGUGAGUGAUGAAGGUCUUCGGAUCGUAAAACUCUUUUAUUAGGGAAGAAAAAGUGUGUAAGUAACUAUGCACGUCUUGACGGUACCUAAUCAGAAAGCCACGGCUAACUACGUG